AAAAUUAGCGGAUGACUUGUGGCUGGGGGUGAAAGGCCAAUCAAACCGGGAGAUAGCUGGUUCUCCCCGAAAGCUAUUUAGGUAGCGCCUCGUGAAUUCAUCUCCGGGGGUAGAGCACUGUUUCGGCAAGGGGGUCAUCCCGACUUACCAACCCGAUGCAAACUGCGAAUACCGGAGAAUGUUAUCACGGGAGACACACGGCGGGUGCUAACGUCCGUCGUGAAGAGGGAAACAACCCAGACCGCCAGCUAAGGUCCCAAAGUCAUGGUUAAGUGGGAAACGAUGUGGGAAGGCCCAGACAGCCAGGAUGUUGGCUUAGAAGCAGCCAUCAUUUAAAGAAAGCGUAAUAGCUCACUGGUCGAGUCGGCCUGCGCGGAAGAUGUAACGGGGCUAAACCAUGCACCGAAGCUGCGGCAGCGACACUGUGUGUUGUUGGGUAGGGGAGCGU
RNAcentral lists this ribosomal RNA (448 nucleotides) under Escherichia coli. RNAcentral describes it as "partial 23S ribosomal RNA". It matches the Rfam family "Bacterial large subunit ribosomal RNA", at positions 793 to 1239 of the family's 2925-position model. The record is from RNAcentral. Lineage: Bacteria; Pseudomonadati; Pseudomonadota; Gammaproteobacteria; Enterobacterales; Enterobacteriaceae.